RNAcentral lists this ribosomal RNA (510 nucleotides) under uncultured bacterium. RNAcentral describes it as "bacterial SSU rRNA". It matches the Rfam family "Bacterial small subunit ribosomal RNA", at positions 9 to 515 of the family's 1533-position model. The record is from RNAcentral.
GAGUUUGAUCAUGGCUCAGAUUGAACGCUGGCGGCAGGCCUAACACGUGCAAGUCGAGCGGUAGAGAGAAGCUUGCUUCUCUUGAGAGCGGCGGACGGGUGAGUAAUGCCUAGGAAUCUGCCUGGUAGUGGGGGAUAACGCUCGGAAACGGACGCUAAUACCGCAUACGUCCUACGGGAGAAAGCAGGGGACCUUCGGGCCUUGCGCUAUCAGAUGAGCCUAGGUCGGAUUAGCUAGUUGGUGAGGUAAUGGCUCACCAAGGCGACGAUCCGUAACUGGUCUGAGAGGAUGAUCAGUCACACUGGAACUGAGACACGGUCCAGACUCCUACGGGAGGCAGCAGUGGGGAAUAUUGGACAAUGGGCGAAAGCCUGAUCCAGCCAUGCCGCGUGUGUGAAGAAGGUCUUCGGAUUGUAAAGCACUUUAAGUUGGGAGGAAGGGCAGUAAAUUAAUACUUUGCUGUUUGACGUUACCGACAGAAUAAGCACCGGCUAACUCUGUGCCAGCACG